Molecule: transfer RNA, 69 nt
Filed under: Urocitellus parryii (Arctic ground squirrel)
Lineage: Eukaryota; Metazoa; Chordata; Mammalia; Rodentia; Sciuridae
Also listed under: 1 other name
Description: Spermophilus parryii (Arctic ground squirrel) tRNA
Rfam family: tRNA
About the family: Transfer RNA (tRNA) molecules are approximately 80 nucleotides in length.
Source: Rfam by way of RNAcentral
GGGGUUGUGGCUCAGAGGUAGAGUGCUCACCUAGCACGUGUGAGGCACCAGGUUCAAUCCUCAGCACCA